Molecule: ribosomal RNA, 288 nt
Filed under: Penicillium dipodomyicola
Lineage: Eukaryota; Fungi; Ascomycota; Eurotiomycetes; Eurotiales; Aspergillaceae
Description: partial 28S ribosomal RNA
Rfam family: Eukaryotic large subunit ribosomal RNA
Source: RNAcentral
UGACCUCGGAUCAGGUAGGGAUACCCGCUGAACUUAAGCAUAUCAAUAAGCGGAGGAAAAGAAACCAACAGGGAUUGCCCCAGUAACGGCGAGUGAAGCGGCAAGAGCUCAAAUUUGAAAGCUGGCUCCUUCGGGGUCCGCAUUGUAAUUUGUAGAGGAUGCUUCGGGAGCGGUCCCCAUCUAAGUGCCCUGGAACGGGACGUCAUAGAGGGUGAGAAUCCCGUAUGGGAUGGGGUGUCCGCGCCCGUGUGAAGCUCCUUCGACGAGUCGAGUUGUUUGGGGAAUGCC